This 253-nucleotide ribosomal RNA is filed under the name uncultured bacterium. Its description in RNAcentral is "partial 16S ribosomal RNA". It matches the Rfam family "Bacterial small subunit ribosomal RNA", at positions 524 to 776 of the family's 1533-position model. The record is from RNAcentral.
UACGUAGGGACCAAGCGUUGUUCGGAUUUACUGGGCGUAAAGGGCGCGUAGGCGGAUCUUUAAGUCGGGGGUGAAAGCCUGAGGCUCAACCUCAGAAUUGCCUUCGAUACUGGAGAUCUUGAGACCGGAAGAGGUAAGUGGAACUGCGAGUGUAGAGGUGAAAUUCGUAGAUAUUCGCAAGAACACCAGUGGCGAAGGCGGCUUACUGGUCCGGUUCUGACGCUGAGGCGCGAAAGCGUGGGGAGCAAACAGG